CUACGGGCUGCACCAGUAAGGAAUAUUGCGCAAUGGAGGCAACUCUGACGCAGCCAUGCCGCGUGCAGGAAGAAGGCCUUAUGGGUCGUAAUCUGCUUUUAUUUAGGAAUAAACCCUCGCUCGUGAGCGAGGCUGAAGGUACUGAAUGAAUAAGCACCGGCUAACUCCGUGCCAGCAGCCGCGGUAAUACGGAGGGUGCAAGCGUUAUCCGGAUUUAUUGGGUUUAAAGGGUGCGCAGGCGGGCUAUUAAGUCAGUGGUGAAAUCCCGGGGCUCAACUCCGGAACUGCCAUUGAUACUGAUAGUCUUGAGUUUGGUUGAAGUGGGCGGAAUGUAGCAUGUAGCGGUGAUAUGCAUAGAUAUGCUACAGAACACCAAUCGCGAAGGCAACUCACUAAGCCAAAACUGACGCUCAUGCACGAAAGCGUGGGGAUCAAACAGGAUUAGAUACCCCUGUAGUC
RNAcentral lists this ribosomal RNA (459 nucleotides) under uncultured bacterium. RNAcentral's name for it is "partial 16S ribosomal RNA". It matches the Rfam family "Bacterial small subunit ribosomal RNA", at positions 339 to 795 of the family's 1533-position model. The record is from RNAcentral.